UGAGGAAUAUUGGUCAAUGGGCGAGAGCCUGAACCAGCCAAGUAGCGUGAAGGAUGACUGCCCUAUGGGUUGUAAACUUCUUUUANAAAGGAAUAAAGUCGGGUAUGCAUACCCG
RNAcentral lists this ribosomal RNA (115 nucleotides) under uncultured bacterium. RNAcentral's name for it is "partial 16S ribosomal RNA". It matches the Rfam family "Bacterial small subunit ribosomal RNA", at positions 355 to 467 of the family's 1533-position model. The record is from RNAcentral.